RNAcentral lists this unclassified non-coding RNA (152 nucleotides) under uncultured Octaviania. Its description in RNAcentral is "sequence contains ITS2". The record is from RNAcentral. Lineage: Eukaryota; Fungi; Basidiomycota; Agaricomycetes; Boletales; Boletaceae.
AAUUAUCAACCCUCAGGGGAAUUGGACUUGGGAUUUGCUGGCUUUUAGUAGUCAGCUGUCCUUAAAUGUAUUAGCAAGGAUGGUGCACGGCCUGUCUCCGGUGAUAAAUGAUCCGUUGGUCCGGGCUGGAAGCUGUCUAUUAACAUUUGACA